GAUGAAGAACGUAGCGAAAUGCGAUACGUAAUGUGAAUUGCAAAUUCAGUGAAUCAUCGAGUCUUUGAACGCACAUUGCGCCCCCUGGUAUUCCGGGGGGCAUGCCUGUUCGAGCGUCAUUUGUACCUUCAAGCUUUGCUUGGUGUUGGGUGUUUGUCUCGCCUUUGCGUGUAGACUCGCCUUAAAAUAAUUGGCAGCCGGCGUAUUGAUUUCGGAGCGCAGUACAUCUCGCGCUUUGCACUCAUAACGACAGCGUCCAAAAGUACAUUUUACACUCUUGACCUCGGAUCAGGUAGGGAUACCCGCUGAACUUAAGCAUAUCAAUAAGCGGAGGA
Molecule: unclassified non-coding RNA, 335 nt
Filed under: soil metagenome
Description: partial contains 5.8S ribosomal RNA, internal transcribed spacer 2, and large subunit ribosomal RNA
Rfam family: 5.8S ribosomal RNA (bases 1-119)
Source: RNAcentral